Molecule: long non-coding RNA, 227 nt
Filed under: Capsella rubella
Lineage: Eukaryota; Viridiplantae; Streptophyta; Magnoliopsida; Brassicales; Brassicaceae
Description: long non-coding RNA (CRUB_LNC001061)
Source: RNAcentral
UACUUUUAUCCACGCAAACUUUUAUGGGAAAAAAGGGGUAAGAAUUAGUAAGGAAAUGGAAGAGAGGUCACAUGUUGUCAUAAGAAUAACAUAAGAACAAAACUUACUUUGGAGCAGUGCCAUAACAAGAUUUAUCCUGUCUUUUUUUUUUUUUUUUCUUUCUCUUCUUGAGGUUCAAAUUCUCUCCAGCACACCUUUCUUUAGAUAAGAAAAAUUCUCUACAUUUC